GGAAGGAUCAUUCACAAUGAGUGUUUUAUGGCACUCUUUAAAAAUCCAUAUCCACCUUGUGUGCAAUGUUUGUUGGGAGAGAGGCAACUCUUUCCCUUCACAAAUAUCAACCUAUAUCUUUAACAACAUUCGUCUGAUAACAUAUUAUGAAUAUACUUAAUUCAAAAUAUAACUUUCAACAACGGAUCUCUUGGCUCUCGCAUCGAUGAAGAACGCAGCGAAAUGCGAUACGUAAUGUGAAUUGCAGAAUUCAGUGAAUCAUCGAAUCUUUGAACGCAUAUUGCGCUCUUUGGUAUUCCGAAGAGCAUGCUUGUUUGAGUAUCAGUAAACACCUCAACCUCCUCUUGUUUUUUCAAAAGGAGGGUGGACUUGAGCUAUCCCAACAACCUUCACCGGUAGGCGGGCGGCUUGAAAUGCAGGUGCAGCUGGACUUUUAUCUGAGCUAAAAGCAUAUCUAUUUAGUCCUCGUCAAACAGGAUUAUUACUAUUGCUGCAGCUAACAUAAAGGAUAAUUGUCCUCAUUGCUGACUGAUGCAGGAUUUUACGACACUUUAUGUGUUGUUCAACUCGAUCUCAAAUCAAGUAAGACUACCCGCUGAACUUAAGCAUAUCAAUAAGCGGAGGAAAAGAAACUAACAAGGAUUCCCCUAGUAACGGCGAGUGAA
RNAcentral lists this ribosomal RNA (665 nucleotides) under uncultured fungus. RNAcentral describes it as "eukaryotic LSU rRNA". The stretch from base 171 to 324 matches the Rfam family "5.8S ribosomal RNA". Lineage: Eukaryota; Fungi. The record is from RNAcentral.